Danio rerio (zebrafish) is the source of this 480-nucleotide non-coding RNA. Lineage: Eukaryota; Metazoa; Chordata; Actinopteri; Cypriniformes; Danionidae. The record is from RefSeq and is a predicted model, not a curated record.
AGGGGAGUGGGAACUGGAUAUAUUCCAGUUCACCAUAGAGCAAGUGAGUCGUGUUUGGUAGAGGGAACCACAUGGUAAACUUAGGCUACCGACCCACUCCGGCUCUGAUUGUUUUGAGAACAUUAUUGUUGCUGCUCAAAUACAGGACCUGUUGUCCUAGAGAUGUUCAGAUGAGGUGUUUGUUGGUGCUUUCAACAUUCUUUAUGCUUCUCAUUGGCGAGUGAACUAUAUGUGUACAAUUGGAACGACGGUCAGUGACUCUUAAAUUCCUCAUCGUACUACAGUUUUCCCAGUGUGAGGAAGUGGAUAUUAUUGCAUCGCACUCAAAUCCGUCUACGCAACAUUCACCCAACCAUCUAUAUCAUUUACACAGACUGUUUACAUUCAAUGACUGCUUGGUUUUGGAUAUUGAUUACUUUUGUUUGUGUGGACUAUAUACUAUAUACACAUGUAGAGAAAUUAAACGAGAAGGAAAAAGGG